UACGGGGGGGGCAAGCGUUGUUCGGAAUUACUGGGCGUAAAGGGCGCGUAGGCGGCCUGCUAAGUCGAACGUGAAAUCCCCGGGCUCAACCCGGGAACUGCGUCCGAUACUGGCAGGCUUGAAUCCGGGAGAGGGAUGCGGAAUUCCAGGUGUAGCGGUGAAAUGCGUAGAUAUCUGGAGGAACACCGGUGGCGAAGGCGGCAUCCUGGACCGGUAUUGACGCUGAGGCGCGAAAGCCAGGGGAGCAAACGGG
RNAcentral lists this ribosomal RNA (253 nucleotides) under uncultured bacterium. RNAcentral describes it as "partial 16S ribosomal RNA". It matches the Rfam family "Bacterial small subunit ribosomal RNA", at positions 524 to 776 of the family's 1533-position model. The record is from RNAcentral.